Small nucleolar RNA from Homo sapiens (human), 106 nucleotides. NCBI's taxonomy places the organism in Eukaryota, Metazoa, Chordata, Mammalia, Primates, Hominidae. The record is from RefSeq and is marked provisional.
GUCUUAUGAUGAUGCUGGUUUUCAGCCAACCUUGAGUGAGUAAAAGCCGGGUCUGAGGUCUCAGUGCCUGCGUGGCUGAUAUGAGCAGCUUGCAUUUCUGACUGGG